UUCUCCACUUUAUCAAUUGACUUUAAACAUAAAAUAUCACUCAAAAUUGAAGAAAUCCUCCAUGGGAAUCCCUGCCCCUUCAUAUCGCGUCACUGUCAAUCCUUAUCUUUUUCCAAUCACCAUUCCUUCACCAUAAAAAAAAAUUUGAAAUCCAAUUAAUUCAUUUAUUCCAAAGGCUAAGAAAAACAGGGAAAAUCUAGAAUAAUUAUGAGAUGAUAAAUACUUAUACAUUGCAAAUUAAGAUAUACAAAUUAUAUAUCGAUUAUUCAUCAGAUGAUGUAGGUGGUAGGGACAAACAAGAUAUAAGAAGAAGAUGAAGGAGGAAAAGGAGUAGAAGAAAAGAAGGAGGAGAAGUAGCAAAGUAGAAGGAUAAAGAGAAGCAAAAGUAUAAGGAAAAGAAGCUGGAGGAGGAGAAGGAUAAGAAGGGGGAGGAGAAUGAGAAGGAGAAAGAAAAGGGAAAAGGGAAAGAGAAGGAGAAAGAGAAGAAGUAGAAGUUGUAUUCUAAUGGUGGUGUUGGAUUAAGUGAGAUAUUGCAAAGUUUGUGUAUAAGUACUUGUGUCAGGGCACUUGAGUUUAGGUCAUUUGACUCAAAGGCUAUCCAUUCCAGAGUGAAGGUGGGAGUGGAUAGAUAUGGAUUUCAUGGUAGGAUUUUCAUAAAAAUUUUCUACAUUUGAUGUUAUUUGGGACAUCAUUGAUAGGUUGAUCAGGUCUUCUCACUUUCUACCAGUUUAGAUUUUAUACUCUUCUAAGAGGUUUGCAUUUAUGAGAUUGUAUAAAUCUACAAGGGGUGUCAAUGUCUAUAUUUCAGAUCAUGGCAAUUAAUUCGCAUCAUAUAUGUUUCGAGGUUGACUCAGAGAGAAUCGGUAUCUAUGUUGAUUUUAGCACAACAUUUGAUCUGCAGACUACAGGCAGUCAGUCCAAAAAAAGGACUAUUUAGGUUAAGGAAAAAUAUGGUUUGGGCUUGUGUAAUUUAUUUUUCGAGGUAUGUGGGACUAGUUUUUGCUUUGGUAGAUUUUGCACAUAAUAAUACCUAAUGUUUGAGUAUUAAAAUGGCUCUAUUUGAGGCAUUAUACAAUAGGAGUUCAGUCUUUGAUGUGCUAGUUUAAUGCUUUUGAAUUAGGCCCUUGGAUCACUAACUUAUGGAUAAAGUUUGGGUGAUUCAGGAGAGGCUCGUACUGCUUAGAGUAGGCAUAAGAGUUAUGUCGAUUAGAGAGUGAGCGCCUUAGAGUUCAGGUAAGAGAUCAGUGUUUAUGUUGGUGUCAAUCAUGAAAGGAAUGAUGAGAUUUGAUUGAAAGGGCGAACUCGACCCUAGGUUCAUCAAACCUUUUUAUAUUUUUGUAGUUUGUUAUGAAGGUGGCUUAUUAAGAGUUAGACUUACCUCCAGCCUUUUGGGUUAUUGACCUUAUCUUUUAUGUAUUUGUGUUGGACAAUAUGUUUAAAUAAGUCUCACGUGCUUAAGUGGAAUUUUAUUCGGUAUGAUGAGUCCUUGAUUUUCGAGGAGGGCCUGUGGUUAUUCAAGACAAGCAGUCUAAGAGGUUAAGGUCUAAGGACAUUCUGUAAUUUGAGGUUUAGUGGAGGCAUCAUCCCACGAGAGGCUACUUGAUAAGCCAAUCUUGAUAUACAGAUCAAAUAUCCUUGUCUUUUUAACCUUGGGAUGCUCCUGCGGAGCUUGGCUUUCUUUGGUAACUCUGCUCCUACAGAGAGCCGCCACACCAGCAAAGGCUACUGAUCUAAUACUGCUCCCACUUAGUUGAGCUUGAUGAUUACUCCUAAAAUAUUUACUCACCGUUGAAGGUUCAUGAUCGAUCCGACGGAGCUAGAGUAAAUUUGUCCCCUCCGUUCUUGCAAUAUCACCACCACCAACAAAAUUCCGCAAGAACGAUGAUUGUGAGUGGUUUAUGUAUCUUGUCCCUUUGAUUUCUAAAUGAAUAAAUGAUUUAAACACACCAUUGUUGAGCGU
Long non-coding RNA from Solanum pennellii, 1960 nucleotides. RefSeq lists it as uncharacterized. The transcript is spliced from 3 exons. The record is from RefSeq and is a predicted model, not a curated record. Lineage: Eukaryota; Viridiplantae; Streptophyta; Magnoliopsida; Solanales; Solanaceae.